AACGAACGCUGGCGGCAGGCCUAACACAUGCAAGUCGAGCGCCCUUUCGGGGGAGCGGCGGACGGGUGAGUAACGCGUGGGAAUAUGCCCUUCUCUACGGAAUAGCCUCGGGAAACUGAGAGUAAUACCGUAUACGCCCUACGGGGGAAAGAUUUAUCGGGGAAGGAUUAGCCCGCGUUGGAUUAGGUAGUUGGUGGGGUAAUGGCCUACCAAGCCGACGAUCCAUAGCUGGUUUGAGAGGAUGAUCAGCCACACUGGGACUGAGACACGGCCCAGACUCCUACGGGAGGCAGCAGUGGGGAAUCUUAGACAAUGGGGGCAACCCUGAUCUAGCCAUGCCGCGUGAGUGAUGAAGGCCUUAGGGUUGUAAAGCUCUUUCAGCUGGGAAGAUAAUGACGUACCAGCAGAAGAGC
This 413-nucleotide ribosomal RNA is filed under the name Paracoccus marinus. RNAcentral's name for it is "bacterial SSU rRNA". It matches the Rfam family "Bacterial small subunit ribosomal RNA", at positions 29 to 490 of the family's 1533-position model. The record is from RNAcentral. Lineage: Bacteria; Pseudomonadati; Pseudomonadota; Alphaproteobacteria; Rhodobacterales; Paracoccaceae.